GUGACUCUCUGCUUAAGAAAAACUGUCUUAGAGUGAAGAAAGAAAAUGAUCGUCAAGAGGAGGAAAGGAUGGGGGUCACACAAAGAGAAAGAGCUAGACCUGACCCCUUUUCUACUCCAGGAAUGAGAUAUAAGCCAGGGGGCAAUCCUGAGGCUGAGAAGGCCCCCGGGAUGGAAGACUCUCCUGAAGGGUUGGAGGUGGCCAGGACUGAGGUUGCAGCACCAAAUGAGGACCAAAAGCAAGGUGGAUGGGAAAGAGACCAAGAGAACAAAAUAGAUGGCUUAAUGACUUAACUUCAUCCAGAGAGUGGAAAGUAAAAUGCAGGAUUCCACCCCCUGCCCUUCUAUUUCAUCUUUAUCUUUGAAAACUACAGGAAAAGGUGGGCUCUUUUGGCUUCCUGACAUGGAUGAGGAUCUUGAAAAAGAAACUUGGCAGACCUUCUCUGUUCCCUGGGGCUACAGCAAAGCAGUAGAGGACGAAGGAGAACAUAUAUGCCA
Molecule: long non-coding RNA, 497 nt
Organism: Sorex araneus (European shrew)
Lineage: Eukaryota; Metazoa; Chordata; Mammalia; Eulipotyphla; Soricidae
Exons: 3
Source: RefSeq, a predicted model, not a curated record